This 74-nucleotide transfer RNA is filed under the name Candidatus Pacearchaeota archaeon. RNAcentral's name for it is "tRNA-Arg". It matches the Rfam family "tRNA". Rfam says of the family: Transfer RNA (tRNA) molecules are approximately 80 nucleotides in length. Their secondary structure includes four short double-helical elements and three loops (D, anti-codon, and T loops). Lineage: Archaea; Nanobdellati. The record is from RNAcentral.
GCCCUGUAGCUCAGCCUGGAUAGAGCGACUGCCUUCUAAGCAGUAGGUCGCAGGUUCAAAUCCUGUCGGGGCCG